GUAUAAGAGACAGCAGCAGCCGCGGUAAUACGGAGGAUCCAAGCGUUAUCCGGAAUCAUUGGGUUUAAAGGGUCCGUAGGCGGUCUUGUAAGUCAGUGGUGAAAGCCCAUCGCUCAACGGUGGAACGGCCAUUGAUACUGCAGGACUUGAAUUAUUGGGAAGUAACUAGAAUAUGUAGUGUAGCGGUGAAAUGCUUAGAGAUUACAUGGAAUACCAAUUGCGAAGGCAGGUUACUACCAAUUGAUUGACGCUGAUGGACGAAAGCGUGGGUAGCGAACAGGAUUAGAUACCCCUGUAGUCCCUGUCUCUUAUAC
RNAcentral lists this ribosomal RNA (314 nucleotides) under uncultured bacterium. RNAcentral's name for it is "partial 16S ribosomal RNA". It matches the Rfam family "Bacterial small subunit ribosomal RNA", at positions 495 to 807 of the family's 1533-position model. The record is from RNAcentral.